UUUGGGAUGGUCUAAGGGCAGGACAGGUGGUUUUGAGCCAUUUAGUGAAGGUUCGAUCCCUUCUCCCAGAACCA
This 74-nucleotide transfer RNA is filed under the name Bacteroidota bacterium. RNAcentral describes it as "Bacteroidetes bacterium tRNA-Gln". It matches the Rfam family "tRNA". From Rfam's summary of the family: Transfer RNA (tRNA) molecules are approximately 80 nucleotides in length. Their secondary structure includes four short double-helical elements and three loops (D, anti-codon, and T loops). Further hydrogen bonds mediate the characteristic L-shaped molecular structure. tRNAs have two regions of fundamental functional importance: the anti-codon, which is responsible for specific mRNA codon recognition, and the 3' end, to which the tRNAs corresponding amino acid is attached (by aminoacyl-tRNA synthetases). tRNAs cope with the degeneracy of the genetic code in two manners: having more than one tRNA (with a specific anti-codon) for a particular amino acid; and 'wobble' base-pairing, i.e. permitting non-standard base-pairing at the 3rd anti-codon position. The record is from RNAcentral. Lineage: Bacteria; Pseudomonadati; Bacteroidota.